UGGCGACGAUGAUGAUAAUGAUGGUGAUGAUGGUGAUGAUGAUGAUGAUGAUGGCAUCAUUGUCAUCAUCAUAUUACCAUGAGGA
RNAcentral lists this microRNA precursor (85 nucleotides) under Bigelowiella natans CCMP2755. RNAcentral's name for it is "miRNA EPrBNAG00000013338". Lineage: Eukaryota; Cercozoa; Chlorarachniophyceae. The record is from RNAcentral.